CGAUGAUUGUGCCAUGCAAUGAAGCAAGGGUGCAAAACAGCUGUGUGACUUUUUCUGUGUGAUUUUUCUUUUCUCCAGGUUGCCAGAACGUUGCUCUUUGAUAAAUUUAUGGCCUAUUUAGAUGUGUAUAUAUAUAUAUAGGAUUAAACUGAAAAUUCCAUGGAAAUCAAUUAUAUUGGACCAUCUACCUUUCAUUUUCUAAAGACCUAUCUAAAUACAACCC
This 223-nucleotide long non-coding RNA is filed under the name Elaeis guineensis (African oil palm). RNAcentral describes it as "long non-coding RNA (EGUI_LNC001668)". Lineage: Eukaryota; Viridiplantae; Streptophyta; Magnoliopsida; Arecales; Arecaceae. The record is from RNAcentral.